UGGCAAGAACUUUGGCACGGCCU
This 23-nucleotide microRNA is filed under the name Pristionchus pacificus. RNAcentral's name for it is "ppc-miR-8286a-3p". Lineage: Eukaryota; Metazoa; Nematoda; Chromadorea; Rhabditida; Neodiplogasteridae. The record is from miRBase by way of RNAcentral.